This is a long non-coding RNA of Cydia pomonella (codling moth), 262 nucleotides long. RefSeq lists it as uncharacterized. Lineage: Eukaryota; Metazoa; Arthropoda; Insecta; Lepidoptera; Tortricidae. The transcript has 2 exons. The record is from RefSeq and is a predicted model, not a curated record.
GAUUCGACUGUGUUCCGUAUUGUGCUGACAAAGUAUACGAUAUGAAGCCCUCCAUUAUAUUGAUUCUGUUCGGGUUAUUUAGUGGAGUUGUCUGUGACUUCUGGUUUACUGGGUUGACACCGGUAGUGAGGCUGGCACCGUCCUUAAGGCAGAGGCAGAUAAUGCGUAGUAUGACGUCAACAGAGAGUGCAUGGCAUGAGCAUGACGUCAAAUGAAGAGACACGGCUACGCUAGUCGUGUGACUAAUAAACAUCUACACUAA